CCUACGGGGGGCUGUAGUGGGGAAUAUUGGACAAUGGGGGGAACCCUGAUCCAGCCAUGCCGCGUGUGUGAAGAAGGCCCUCGGGUUGUAAAGCACUUUCAGUGAGGAAGAACGCCUGGUGGUUAAUACCCAUCAGGAAAGACAUCACUCACAGAAGAAGCACCGGCUAACUCCGUGCCAGCAGCCGCGGUAAUACGGAGGGUGCGAGCGUUAAUCGGAAUUACUGGGCGUAAAGCGCGCGUAGGUGGCUUGAUAAGCCGGUUGUGAAAGCCCCGGGCUCAACCUGGGAACGGCAUCCGGAACUGUCAAGCUAGAGUGCAGGAGAGGAAGGUAGAAUUCCCGGUGUAGCGGUGAAAUGCGUAGAGAUCGGGAGGAAUACCAGUGGCGAAGGCGGCCUUCUGGACUGACACUGACACUGAGGUGCGAAAGCGUGGGUAGCAAACAGGAUUAGAUACCCCGGUAGUU
Molecule: ribosomal RNA, 465 nt
Filed under: Vreelandella stevensii
Lineage: Bacteria; Pseudomonadati; Pseudomonadota; Gammaproteobacteria; Oceanospirillales; Halomonadaceae
Description: partial 16S ribosomal RNA
Rfam family: Bacterial small subunit ribosomal RNA
Source: RNAcentral